UUAGAGUUUCCUUUUGGCUCAGGAUGAACGCUAGCGGCAGGCUUAACACAUGCAAGUCGAGGGGCAGCGGGUGUAGCAAUACAUGCCGGCGACCGGCGCAAGGGUGCGUAACGCGUGAGCAAUCUGCCCGUAUCAGGGGGAUAAGCGAUGGAAACGUCGUCUAAUACCGCAUAACACCAAUGAUGGCAUCAUCGAUGGUUGAAAGCUUCGGUGGAUACGGAUGAGCUCGCGAGACAUUAGUUAGUUGGCGGGGUAACGGCCCACCAAGACCGCGAUGUCUAGGGGAACUGAGAGGUUGGUCCCCCACACUGGAACUGAGACACGGUCCAGACUCCUACGGGAGGCAGCAGUGAGGAAUAUUGGACAAUGGCCGGAAGGCUGAUCCAGCCAUGCCGCGUGAAGGAAUAAGGUCCUAUGGAUUGUAAACUUCUUUUGUACGAGAGCAAUAAGUGUCACGAGUGACACGAUGAGAGUAUCGUACGAAUAAGCAUCGGCUAACUCCGUGCCAGCAGCCGCUCUAAUACGGAGGAUGCGAGCGUUAUCCGGAUUUAUUGGGUUUAAAGGGUGCGUAGGCGGGAAUUUAAGUCAGCGGGGAAACGCAAGGGCUCAACCCUUGACCUGCCGUUGAAACUGGAGUUCCUUUAAUGCGGAUGCCUGUGGGAAGGAAGUCGGGGUGAGCCGGGAAAAAUGCAAAGAUAUCACACAAAACACCGAAUUGCGAAGGCAUCUCACAAAUCCGUGAUUGACGCUGAGGCACGAAAGUGUGGGGAUCAAACAGGAUUAGAUACCCUGGUAGUCCACACUGUAAACGAUGAUAACUCGCUGUCGGCGAUACACAGUCGGUGGCCAAGCGAAAGCGAUAAGUUAUCCACCUGGGGAGUACGACCGCAAGGUUGAAACUCAAAGGAAUUGACGGGGGCCCGCACAAGCGGAGGAACAUGUGGUUUAAUUCGAUGAUACGCGAGGAACCUUACCCGGGCUCGAACGGCAAGUGAACGACACAGAGAUGUGAAGGUCCUUCGGGACACUUGUCGAGGUGCUGCAUGGUUGUCGUCAGCUCGUGCCGUGAGGUGUCGGCUUAAGUGCCAUAACGAGCGCAACCCUUGCCAUUAGUUACCAGCAUGUAAUGAUGGGGACUCUAGUGGGACUGCCACCGUAAGGUGUGAGGAGGGGGGGGAUGACGUCAAAUCAGCACGGCCCUUACGUCCGGGGCGACACACGUGUUACAAUGGUGGGUACAGAGGGCAGCUACCUGGUGACAGGAUGCAAAUCUCGAAAACCCAUCUCAGUUCGGAUCGGAGUCUGCAACUCGACUCCGUGAAGUUGGAUUCGCUAGUAAUCGCGCAUCAGCCAUGGCGCGGUGAAUACGUUCACGGGCCUUGCACUCACCGCCCGUCA
This 1398-nucleotide ribosomal RNA is filed under the name uncultured bacterium. RNAcentral describes it as "bacterial SSU rRNA". It matches the Rfam family "Bacterial small subunit ribosomal RNA". The record is from RNAcentral.